Molecule: ribosomal RNA, 497 nt
Filed under: uncultured bacterium
Lineage: Bacteria
Description: partial 16S ribosomal RNA
Rfam family: Bacterial small subunit ribosomal RNA
Source: RNAcentral
GAUGAACGCUGGCGGCGUGCCUAAUACAUGCAAGUCGAGCGAACAGACGAGGAGCUUGCUCCUCUGACGUUAGCGGCGGACGGGUGAGUAACACGUGGAUAACCUACCUAUAAGACUGGGAUAACUUCGGGAAACCGGAGCUAAUACCGGAUAAUAUAUUGAACCGCAUGGUUCAAUAGUGAAAGACGGUUUUGCUGUCACUUAUAGAUGGAUCCGCGCCGCAUUAGCUAGUUGGUAAGGUAACGGCUUACCAAGGCGACGAUGCGUAGCCGACCUGAGAGGGCGAUCGGCCACACUGGAACUGAGACACGGUCCAGACUCCUACGGGAGGCAGCAGUAGGGAAUCUUCCGCAAUGGGCGAAAGCCUGACGGAGCAACGCCGCGUGAGUGAUGAAGGUCUUCGGAUCGUAAAACUCUGUUAUUAGGGAAGAACAAAUGUGUAAGUAACUAUGCACGUCUUGACGGUACCUAAUCAGAAAGCCACGGCUAACUACGUG